AUGCACAGCAAGUUCCUGCAGAAGCGGCUUAUCCCGGUGCAUGCGGUCGCUAAUUGUGUGGGUACAUCGUUAAUUACAAUCUUAAGAAACCGAAACACUAGCUUGCAUGCACUAGAUAUAGAAAUAAAAAAAGAAAGUACAUGGGACCCACCAAUCAGAGGGGGCAAGUCGCCCUGCCAAUAUUUUGGCGCAGCUUUUGAGCGCCCUGGAAUCGCCCGCUCGUUGGCGAGAAAUACAUGGGUGCGGUGCUGGCGGGCUGGGCGAGCCAGUUCGCUGGCAACCAUCCAAACGACUACCAAAAUUCAAGGGCGAGCCAAUAUUUUGGUAGGGUCAGCUUUGGUUCCAAUCCAAACGCACCCUUAUUGUUCUGUAAUGAAAGACUGUCUCUUUUGA
This 393-nucleotide ribosomal RNA is filed under the name Triticum aestivum (bread wheat). RNAcentral describes it as "partial small subunit ribosomal RNA". Lineage: Eukaryota; Viridiplantae; Streptophyta; Magnoliopsida; Poales; Poaceae. The record is from RNAcentral.